This 595-nucleotide ribosomal RNA is filed under the name uncultured Microdochium. RNAcentral's name for it is "eukaryotic LSU rRNA". The stretch from base 215 to 369 matches the Rfam family "5.8S ribosomal RNA". The record is from RNAcentral. Lineage: Eukaryota; Fungi; Ascomycota; Sordariomycetes; Xylariales.
UUUCUUGGUCAUUUAGAGGAAGUAAAAGUCGUAACAAGGUCUCCGUAGGUGAACGUNGCGGAGGGAUCAUUACAGAGCUUUUUAACUCCUAAAACCAUGUGAACUUACCUACUGUUUCCUCGGUGGAAGGUACCCGGAAGGGUGCUGGAAGCCGGUGGACAUUUAACCUCUUGUUAAUUUUGUUAGUUCUGAAUCAAACUACGAAAUAAUUUAAAACUUUCAACAACGGAUCUCUUGGUUCUGGCAUCGAUGAAGAACGCAGCGAAAUGCGAUAAGUGAUGUGAAUUGCAGAAUUCGAGUGAAUCAUCUUCUGUUUGAACGCUUAUUGCGCCCAUUAGUAUUCUAGUGGGCAUGCCUGUUGGAGCGUCAUUUCAACCGUUAAGCCUAGUUUAUUGUUGGGAGGUUGCCUAAUGACUCAGCUCCUCAUAAACCAGAUGGCAGAGUGUUUUACGUGCUGUGAGCGCCUUAAUUCGUAUUCUUGCCUUUGAGCACGCAUUUUGAGACGAUAGCCUGGAAGCCGCUUGCUUCGGCAGCACUUUUGUAAUGGCUGACCUCGGAUCUAGUAAGAAUACCCGCUGAACUUAACCUUAUCAAA